UUUCAAAAUAAAUAACGUCGAACAAUGCGUCGAACAUAUUCAUUCAACUAUGACAUAUGACGCAGGACGCUUGCAAGAGAGAUAGAUAUAUGUGUCAAAACAAAAACUUUUACUUUUAUUUCUAUUUAUUCGGUAUAAUUACGACUUAAUAGUGAUAAAUAUGAUCAUUAUAAAUACAAAUAGGAAUUAACAAUAUCACGAACACGUGACACAACUAGUAUUUUACCGAUUCCAUACGUGGUCAUACAUGUUUCAAAAGAAUAACUUUUAC
Long non-coding RNA from Colias croceus (clouded yellow), 271 nucleotides. RefSeq lists it as uncharacterized. The transcript is spliced from 2 exons. Lineage: Eukaryota; Metazoa; Arthropoda; Insecta; Lepidoptera; Pieridae. The record is from RefSeq and is a predicted model, not a curated record.